GCCACCGACGGGGCCGCUGCGGGGGUAAGAACGUGGGUGGGUGGCGUUGCCGGAAAUACUGGGCGUAAAGGGCUCGUCGGGUGGUGGUCACGUCGUCCGUGAAAACUCGGAGCUUAACUCCGGGCUUGCGGGCGAUACGGGCAGACUUGAGUACUACAGGGGAGACUGGAAUUCCUGGUGUAGCGGUGAAAUGCGCAGAUAUCAGGAGGAACACCGGUGGCGAAGGCGGGUCUCUGGGUAGUAACUGACGCUGAGGAGCGAAAGCAUGGGGAGCAAACAGGAUUAGAUACCCUUGUAGUC
Molecule: ribosomal RNA, 300 nt
Filed under: uncultured Sphingomonas sp.
Lineage: Bacteria; Pseudomonadati; Pseudomonadota; Alphaproteobacteria; Sphingomonadales; Sphingomonadaceae
Description: bacterial SSU rRNA
Rfam family: Bacterial small subunit ribosomal RNA
Source: RNAcentral